This 512-nucleotide long non-coding RNA is filed under the name Gallus gallus (chicken). The record is from RNAcentral. Lineage: Eukaryota; Metazoa; Chordata; Aves; Galliformes; Phasianidae.
CGCGAGGCCGCUAAAGAUGGCGGAGGCAGGGGCGGCUGAGGGGUGCCUCGGCUUGGUUUAAUAACGGAUUUCACACAGUGAAAAAAAAAAAGCAUAGACUGGGUUUUCAGUUCAAAUACCUCUCGCAAGGGAGGGAAACAAAAGAUCAGGCAUCAUUGCUUCAUGUAAAAGGGCUGCUGUUGUAAUACGUCCAACAUUUGUACACGUCUUAGAAAACACUUCUUACAAAACUAAUCUUCAGUUGAAGAUCCCUCUUCUUGUAUCUGCUUUGGGUUUCUUGGUCUGGGGCACAGGGAGAACAGGGGCUGCUGAGGCUCCAAACCACGCAGGCACCUUCCUCUUACCUGGGGGCUGGGAGCUCUUUGGCUGAGUGUCAGCAAACAGUUCUUCAUCAGGGCUGAGGGCUGGCUGGUUCCUGGAGGCCAACUGGAUGGGCUCCGUGCGGUCUGCUGCACCCCUGUUACCUGGCUGGGCAUCAUCUGUGCUCCACGUGGCCAAAGCUGAGGGCACCA